Molecule: ribosomal RNA, 472 nt
Filed under: uncultured bacterium
Lineage: Bacteria
Description: bacterial SSU rRNA
Rfam family: Bacterial small subunit ribosomal RNA
Source: RNAcentral
UGAGGAAUAUUGGACAAUGGGCGAAAGCCUGAUCCAGCCAUGCCGCGUGUGUGAAGAAGGUCUUCGGAUUGUAAAGCACUUUAAGUUGGGAGGAAGGGCAGUUACCUAAUACGUGAUUGUUUUGACGUUACCGACAGAAUAAGCACCGGCUAACUCUGUGCCAGCAGCCGCGGUAAUACAGAGGGUGCAAGCGUUAAUCGGAAUUACUGGGCGUAAAGCGCGCGUAGGUGGUUAGUUAAGUUGGAUGUGAAAUCCCCGGGCUCAACCUGGGAACUGCAUUCAAAACUGACUGACUAGAGUAUGGUAGAGGGUGGUGGAAUUUCCUGUGUAGCGGUGAAAUGCGUAGAUAUAGGAAGGAACACCAGUGGCGAAGGCGACCACCUGGACUGAUACUGACACUGAGGUGCGAAAGCGUGGGGAGCAAACAGGAUUAGAUACCCCGGUAGUCCCUGAGCGGGCUGGCAAGGCGCAU